Long non-coding RNA from Spea bombifrons (plains spadefoot toad), 572 nucleotides. RefSeq lists it as uncharacterized. Lineage: Eukaryota; Metazoa; Chordata; Amphibia; Anura; Pelobatidae. The transcript is spliced from 3 exons. The record is from RefSeq and is a predicted model, not a curated record.
GUACAGUAGCCAAUGAGGGACGGCUUCCACACACCAAUGGCCGCCCUCCUUACAUCCCCACUCCAGGAACUGCCUUGGCAGGGGCAGACUGUUUUUCUUGCAUGGGUACUUUUUUUUUCUUUUGCAAACUAACCCAGAGGAAAUACAGCGCACGGAUCUAUAGGCAUUUACCUUUACAUUAACGCCCUUCCUGCAUAGAUUGGAGAACAUAUAUAUUUUUUACACACCCUGCAUUUUUAAAAAAAGAAAGAAAAAGUCUAGAUAAGAAUUGUGUUCAAGCUGCUCAAGCUGGAUAAAUAUGCAGUCUGUCCACACUUAAACCUGGAACAGGUCUAACAAUACACUUGGAGAGAUGGUUCUUCACAUUUUUGAAUACAGUUUAACAAAGAAUCUAAUCUCGGGGCUCAUUGAAAGUAAUUUGUACAUUGUGUGUAGUUCCAGCCACUGACCGAAUGGUAAGCCAAAGAUGUCCAUGGGACCUCCCAGUGGUCGGUGGUGGCACGUAGGUCCGACAUGCUACACAACUAGUCAGCGGUAAAACAGUAGGUGCUACAUAGCCUACUCAGAAAGAU